UACGUAGGUGGCGAGCGUUAUCCGGAAUUAUUGGGCGUAAAGAGCGCGCAGGUGGUUGAUUAAGUCUGAUGUGAAAGCCCACGGCUUAACCGUGGAGGGUCAUUGGAAACUGGUCGACUUGAGUGCAGAAGGGGGAAGUGGAAUUCCAUGUGUAGCGGUGAAAUGCGUAGAGAUAUGGAGGAACACCAGUGGCGAAGGCGGCUUCCUGGUCUGUAACUGACACUGAGGCGCGAAAGCGUGGGGAGCAAACAGGAUUAGAUACCCCUGUA
RNAcentral lists this ribosomal RNA (269 nucleotides) under uncultured prokaryote. RNAcentral's name for it is "partial 16S ribosomal RNA". It matches the Rfam family "Bacterial small subunit ribosomal RNA", at positions 524 to 792 of the family's 1533-position model. The record is from RNAcentral.